AGAGUUUGAUCAUGGCUCAGAUUGAACGCUGGCGGCAUGCCUUACACAUGCAAGUCGAACGGCAGCACGGGGGCAACCCUGGUGGCGAGUGGCGAACGGGUGAGUAAUACAUCGGAACGUGUCCUGUAGUGGGGGAUAGCCCGGCGAAAGCCGGAUUAAUACCGCAUACGAUCUACGGAAGAAAGCGGGGGAUCGCAAGACCUCGCGCUAUAGGGGCGGCCGAUGGCAGAUUAGCUAGUUGGUGGGGUAAAGGCCUACCAAGGCGACGAUCUGUAGCUGGUCUGAGAGGACGACCAGCCACACUGGGACUGAGACACGGCCCAGACUCCUACGGGAGGCAGCAGUGGGGAAUUUUGGACAAUGGGGGAAACCCUGAUCCAGCAAUGCCGCGUGUGUGAAGAAGGCCUUCGGGUUGUAAAGCACUUUUGUCCGGAAAGAAAACUUCUGCCCUAAUACGGCGGGAGGAUGACGGUACCGGAAGAAUAAGCACCGGCUAACUACGUGCCAGCAGCCGCGGUAAUACGUAGGGUGCGAGCGUUAAUCGGAAUUACUGGGCGUAAAGCGUGCGCAGGCGGUUCGUUAAGACAGAUGUGAAAUCCCCGGGCUUAACCUGGGAACUGCAUUUGUGACUGGCGAGCUAGAGUAUGGCAGAGGGGGGUAGAAUUCCACGUAGCAGUGAAAUGCGUAGAGAUGUGGAGGAAUACCGAUGGCGAAGGCAGCCCCCUGGGCCAAUACUGACGCUCAUGCACGAAAGCGUGGGGAGCAAACAGGAUUAGAUACCCUAGUAGUCC
This 791-nucleotide ribosomal RNA is filed under the name uncultured bacterium. RNAcentral describes it as "bacterial SSU rRNA". It matches the Rfam family "Bacterial small subunit ribosomal RNA", at positions 8 to 796 of the family's 1533-position model. The record is from RNAcentral.